This 281-nucleotide ribosomal RNA is filed under the name Vibrio sinensis. RNAcentral describes it as "Vibrio sp. BEI233 partial 23S ribosomal RNA". It matches the Rfam family "Bacterial large subunit ribosomal RNA", at positions 2672 to 2925 of the family's 2925-position model. The record is from RNAcentral. Lineage: Bacteria; Pseudomonadati; Pseudomonadota; Gammaproteobacteria; Vibrionales; Vibrionaceae.
CUGCUCCUAGUACGAGAGGACCGGAGUGGACGAACCUCUGGUGUUCGGGUUGUCAUGCCAAUGGCAUUGCCCGGUAGCUAAGUUCGGAAUCGAUAACCGCUGAAAGCAUCUAAGCGGGAAGCGAGCCUUGAGAUGAGUUUUCCCUGACRCUUUAAGYGUCCUAAAGGGUUGUUCGAGACUAGAACGUUGAUAGGCAGGGUGUGUAAGCGCUGUGAGGCGUUGAGCUAACCUGUACUAAUUGCCCGUGAGGCUUAACCAUACAACACCCAAGGGGUUUUGUA